UUUAAAAAAAAUGAUUGAUGCAUCAGGGUUGGCGACAUUGAUUGCAUUGUUUUGGAUCGCCAUGUGUGAAAGAGAACUGUGACUGUCCUGCCUUGUGUAUUUCAUGGAAAAAUGGCAAUUUUGGAAUGGAGGCCACUGAAACUGACACGAAGACUGGUGCAAAAGAAUCUUCAAGAAAUAAUCUGCCCA
Long non-coding RNA from Sinocyclocheilus anshuiensis, 189 nucleotides. RefSeq lists it as uncharacterized. Lineage: Eukaryota; Metazoa; Chordata; Actinopteri; Cypriniformes; Cyprinidae. The record is from RefSeq and is a predicted model, not a curated record. The transcript is spliced from 3 exons.